Molecule: ribosomal RNA, 422 nt
Filed under: uncultured bacterium
Lineage: Bacteria
Description: partial 16S ribosomal RNA
Rfam family: Bacterial small subunit ribosomal RNA
Source: RNAcentral
AAUCUUCCACAAUGGGCGAAAGCCUGAUGGACCCACGCCGCGUGCGUGAAGAAGGUCUGCGGAUUGUAUAACUAUGUUGUAAGGGAAGAAAAAGUACAGUAGUAACUGGCUGUACCUUAACGGUAUAUUAUUAGAAAGCCACGGCUACAUACGUGCCAGCAGCCGCGGUAAAACAUAGGUGGCAAGCGUUGUCCGGAAUUAUUGGGCGUAAAGCGGGCGGAGGCGGGCCUGUAAGGCUGAUGUGAAAGCCCCCGGCUCAACCGGGGGAGGUCAUUGGAAUCUGGGGGACUUGAGGGCAGAAGAGGAUAGAGGAAUUCCGAGUGUAGCGGUGAAAUGCGUAGAGAUUUGGAGGAACACCAGAGGCGAAGGCGACUUUAUGGUCUGUAACUGACGCUGAGGCGAGAAAGCGUGGGGAGCAAACA